This is a non-coding RNA of Pelobates cultripes (western spadefoot toad), 157 nucleotides long. The record is from the annotation of a GenBank genome assembly. Lineage: Eukaryota; Metazoa; Chordata; Amphibia; Anura; Pelobatidae.
CUGUGUGUGUGUGUGUGUGUGUAUUCAGCAGUCUGUGUGUGUGUAUUCAGCAGUUGGUGUGUAUGUGUGUGUAUUCAGCAGUCGGUGUGUGUUCUGAGUAUAUACACAGACAACUGAGUAUACACACAGACUGCUGAGUAUACACACAAACAGACUG